AUGUUAGGAUCACAAAAAAGGGUUGUACCUAGAUUGCGAAGAUGGCAACACAAAGCUCGGUACCACACUGGAAUUGCUGCAGUGGAAGGAGACAAUGGUGUAUCGGACAACGGAUUUGAGAAGCUACUGAAAAUAUUGAAGAAGAAGCUUCCAAAGGAUAACGAAUGGCCUAACAGUACGUACGGAGCAAAGAAGGUUCUAUGCCCUCUAGGGUUGGAGGUGCAAAAGAUACAUGCAUGCCCUAAUGACUGCAUCCUCUACCACGGUGCGUACGAGGAUUUGAACGCAUGCCCAGUAUGCGGUGCAUUGUGGUAUAAGAUCAGACGAGAUGACCCUGGUGAUGUUGAGGGCGAGCGGCCCAGGAAGAGGGUUUCUGCCAAGGUGAUGUGGUAUGCUCCUAUAAUACCACGGUUGAAACGUCUAUUCAGAAACAAAGAGCAUGCCAAGUUGAUGCGAUGGCACAAAGAGGACCGUAAGAAAGACGGGAAGUUGAGAGCACCCGCUGACGGGUCGCAGUGGAGAAAAAUCGAGAGAAAGUGGGGGGACUUUGCAGGUGACGCAAGGAACGUAUGGUUUAGUUUAAGCGCGGAUGGCAUUAAUCCUUUUGGGGAGCAGAGCAGCGAUCAUAGCACCUGGCCCGUGACUCUAUGUAUCUAUAACCUUCCUCCUUGGUUGUGCAUGAAGCGGAAGUUCAUUAUGAUGCCAGUUCUCAUCCAAGGCCCUAAGCAACCUGGCAACGACAUUGAUGUGUACCUAAGGCCAUUAGUUGAAGAACUUUUACAGCUGUGGAAUGGAAAAGGUGUACAUGUGUGGGAUGAGCAAGAGCAGCAGGAAUUUGACCUACAUGCGUUGCUGUUUGUAACCAUCAAUGAUUGGCCUGCUCUCAGUAACCUUUCAGGACAGACAAACAAGGGAUAUCACACAUGCACGCACUGUUUAGAUGACAUCGAAAGUAUAUAUUUGGACAUAUGCAGGAAGAAUGUGUACCUGGGGCAUCGUCGAUUUCUUCCGACCAACCAUCAAUGUCGAAAGAAAGGCAAGCAUUUCAAAGAUGAGGCAGAUCAUCGGAAGAAGCCCGCCGUCCGUACUGGUGAUCACAUACUUGCUAUGUUCAAUGAUUUACAAGUAAUCUUUGAAAAGGGUCCCAGCGGACUAUCUGUUCUGAAUGACGUUGAGGGACGCGCACCCAUGUGGAAGAAGAAAUCUAUAUUUUGGGACCUACCCUAUUGGAAAGACCUAGAGGCCCGCUCUACAAUCGACGUGAUGCACAUGACGAAGAAUCUUUGCAUGAACCUGCUACACUUCUUGGGCGUGUAUGGGAAGAAAAAAGAUACACCGGAGGCAUGGGAGGACCAGCAACGUAUGCACGAAAAAGACUGCAUGCCUCCAAAGCAGUAUGAAGGUCCUGCCAGCUACGCUCUUACCAAAGAAGAGAGGGAAACCUUAUUUGAAUGCCUGCUCAGUAUGAAGGUCCCGUCUGGCUUCUCGUCGAAUAUAAAGGGAAUAAUAAAUAUGGCUGAGAAAAAGUUCCAGAACCUAAAGUCUCAUGACUGCCACGUGAUUAUGACACAACUGCUUUCGAUUGCAUUGAGGGGCUUCUACCAAAAAACGUUCGACUAG
Molecule: ribosomal RNA, 1620 nt
Filed under: Triticum aestivum (bread wheat)
Lineage: Eukaryota; Viridiplantae; Streptophyta; Magnoliopsida; Poales; Poaceae
Description: partial small subunit ribosomal RNA
Source: RNAcentral